GUGAGUAACACGUGAGUAACCUGCCCUUGACUUUGGGAUAACUUCAGGAAACUGGGGCUAAUACCGGAUAGGAGCUCCUGCUGCAUGGUGGGGGUUGGAAAGUUUCGGCGGUUGGGGAUGGACUCGCGGCUUAUCAGCUUGUUGGUGGGGUAGUGGCUUACCAAGGCUUUGACGGGUAGCCGGCCUGAGAGGGUGACCGGCCACAUUGGGACUGAGAUACGGCCCAG
This 227-nucleotide ribosomal RNA is filed under the name uncultured Actinomycetales bacterium. RNAcentral describes it as "partial 16S ribosomal RNA". It matches the Rfam family "Bacterial small subunit ribosomal RNA", at positions 106 to 334 of the family's 1533-position model. Lineage: Bacteria; Bacillati; Actinomycetota; Actinomycetes; Actinomycetales. The record is from RNAcentral.